This 492-nucleotide ribosomal RNA is filed under the name uncultured bacterium. Its description in RNAcentral is "partial 16S ribosomal RNA". It matches the Rfam family "Bacterial small subunit ribosomal RNA", at positions 29 to 507 of the family's 1533-position model. The record is from RNAcentral.
AGUGAACGCUGGCGGUAGGCCUAACACAUGCAAGUCGAACGGCAGCACAGUAAGAGCUUGCUCUUACGGGUGGCGAGUGGCGGACGGGUGAGGAAUACAUCGGAAUCUACUUUUUCGUGGGGGAUAACGUAGGGAAACUUACGCUAAUACCUCAUACGACCUACGGGUGAAAUCAGGGGAUCUUCGGACCUUGCGCGAUUGAAUGAGCCGAUGUCGGAUUAGCUAGUUGGCGGGGUAAAGGCCCACCAAGGCGACGAUCCGUAGCUGGUCUGAGAGGAUGAGCAGCCACACUGGAACUGAGACACGGUCCAGACUCCUACGGGAGGCAGCAGUGGGGAAUAUUGGACAAUGGGCGCAAGCCUGAUCCAGCCAUACCGCGUGGGUGAAGAAGGCCUUCGGGUUGUAAAGCCCUUUUGUUGGGAAAGAAAAGCAGCAGGUUAAUACCCCGCUGUUCUGACGGUACCCAAAGAAUAAGCACCGGCUAACUUCGUG